Molecule: ribosomal RNA, 254 nt
Filed under: uncultured bacterium
Lineage: Bacteria
Description: partial 16S ribosomal RNA
Rfam family: Bacterial small subunit ribosomal RNA
Source: RNAcentral
UACGUAGGGGGCAAGCGUUAUCCAGAUUUACUGGGCGUAAAGCGCGUGUAGGCGGCUGGUUAGGCGUGAUGUGAAAUCUUCCGGCUCAACCGGAAAACUGCAUUGCGAACCGGCCUGGCUAGAGUGCAGGAGAGGGAAGCGGAAUUCCAGGUGUAGCGGUGAAAUGCGUAGAUAUCUGGAGGAACACCAGUGGCGAAAGCGGCCACCUGGACUGUACCUGACGCUCAAGCGCGAAAGCUAGGGGAGCGAACGGG